GACGAACGCUGGCGGCGUGCUUAACACAUGCAAGUCGAACGGAAAGGCCCUGCUUUUGUGGGGUGCUCGAGUGGCGAACGGGUGAGUAACACGUGGGUAACCUGCCCUCGACUUUGGGAUAACUUCAGGAAACUGGGGCUAAUACCGGAUAGGAGCUCCUGCUGCAUGGUGGGGGUUGGAAAGUUUCGGCGGUUGGGGAUGGACUCGCGGCUUAUCAGCUUGUUGGUGGGGUAGUGGCUUACCAAGGCUUUGACGGGUAGCCGGCCUGAGAGGGUGACCGGCCACAUUGGGACUGAGAUACGGCCCAGACUCCUACGGGAGGCAGCAGUGGGGAAUAUUGCACAAUGGGCGGAAGCCUGAUGCAGCAACGCCGCGUGCGGGAUGACGGCCUUCGGGUUGUAAACCGCUUUCGCCUGUGACGAAGCGUGAGUGACGGUAAUGGGUAAAGAAGCACCGGCUAACUACGUG
RNAcentral lists this ribosomal RNA (468 nucleotides) under uncultured bacterium. Its description in RNAcentral is "partial 16S ribosomal RNA". It matches the Rfam family "Bacterial small subunit ribosomal RNA", at positions 28 to 507 of the family's 1533-position model. The record is from RNAcentral.